AUUUGAAACAGAACUCAGCAUUAAUCACAAGGACUUCCCUUUUCAUUGAAUACAGCUUUGUAUUUGGACUGUACACUUGUAGUAUAUGCUUGAUAUUCUAACUAGUGGAUAAACGAAUCUGUGCUUUCUCACCAGCAUUACUGGUAUCUACAAGCGAGUGAGCGUAACCGUUACCAUGCCAAUAGACGGGUCCUGUAGAUGCGGACCUGCGUGCAAAUGCGAACAGGAAAUAUGCAAUUGCGGAAACUGUAAGGUCAAAUAUAAAGCAACAGGAAAGAAAUGUCAGUGCGAUCCCGUGGCUUGUGCCUGCAGCAGAAACAGCCAGGCUGCAAACGUGAACGUGACUAAAAGAGGAAAAUGAAAGUUCGAAAGAGGGCGUUACUUUCUGUUUCUCUCUAAUUCAAGCUUAGUCUUUGUCUCAGAAAUAAUUGAACAAUGGCAAUCAUUGCCAACAACAUACUUGUUUACUAACAAUUGAUGAGAGUUAAUUAUCUGUUUGUCUCUCUUUAUUCUUAUAUUUGUUCUGAUGUGUUAUAUUUAUAUCCAGUAUAAAUAUUGAUAUUUUA
Long non-coding RNA from Ostrea edulis (European flat oyster), 566 nucleotides. RefSeq lists it as uncharacterized. NCBI's taxonomy places the organism in Eukaryota, Metazoa, Mollusca, Bivalvia, Ostreida, Ostreidae. The record is from RefSeq and is a predicted model, not a curated record. The transcript is spliced from 3 exons.